GCCCGGAUGGUCUAGUGGUAUGAUUCGCCCUUAGGGACUGGGCGAGGUCCCCGGUUCAAUCCCGGGUUCGGGCC
RNAcentral lists this transfer RNA (74 nucleotides) under Rhizoctonia solani AG-1 IB. RNAcentral describes it as "tRNA-Pro". Lineage: Eukaryota; Fungi; Basidiomycota; Agaricomycetes; Cantharellales; Ceratobasidiaceae. The record is from RNAcentral.